UUCAAGGGGAUUAUUCACACGGAGGAGGCUAGCAGGGUUUGGCACUAUAUUUUCAAUUUUUAGUAGACUUAAAAUCUUUUUGCAAUGAACUCCCAUAGAGAAAAGUCCUGUCUUGAAACCAAGAGCAAAGAAAAAUGGUACCAGAAUUUCCAUUAUGCAAAUCCAAGCAAGAAUAUCACUGAAACAGGAACUGCAUCUCUGGAGUUUAGCUUUGGCAAGACAUCAUAUUGCAUGUCGCUGAGAUGUUGAUUCAGUAUUCCAGCUCAGCUGCCACAUUGACCCUCCAGAAAAAGGCAUCAGGAAUCUCCAUGAAAAUAAGGAAACAACUGGAUGCUACUCAGACACCAGGACCCAGUUCUCAACUCCAUCCUGGAUGGAUGGGACAUCGCGGAGAGAAAGGGAACAUAGGCAGGGUGUCCCUAUGCUCCAGGGACACCCUAUGCUCCAGCAAUCCCCAGCUGCUAGAAUGGUCCCGCAGGGCCAUGGGGAGGCAGAACUUGUAUCACCCCCAAAAUCCAGGAGGCAUAAAGGUGUGUCGUCGUUCUUUAAAAGUGCUUUGACGUGCUGAAAUGGAAGGUCUUAAAGAAGCGCCCACACUAGUGAAGCCCCAACACAGUGGCCUAGCUAGGAGUGUAAACGUGGAUGG
Molecule: long non-coding RNA, 646 nt
Organism: Dermochelys coriacea (leatherback sea turtle)
Lineage: Eukaryota; Metazoa; Chordata; Testudines; Dermochelyidae
Exons: 3
Source: RefSeq, a predicted model, not a curated record